The sequence is a transfer RNA, 70 nucleotides long. It matches the Rfam family "tRNA". From Rfam's summary of the family: Transfer RNA (tRNA) molecules are approximately 80 nucleotides in length. Their secondary structure includes four short double-helical elements and three loops (D, anti-codon, and T loops). Further hydrogen bonds mediate the characteristic L-shaped molecular structure. tRNAs have two regions of fundamental functional importance: the anti-codon, which is responsible for specific mRNA codon recognition, and the 3' end, to which the tRNAs corresponding amino acid is attached (by aminoacyl-tRNA synthetases). tRNAs cope with the degeneracy of the genetic code in two manners: having more than one tRNA (with a specific anti-codon) for a particular amino acid; and 'wobble' base-pairing, i.e. permitting non-standard base-pairing at the 3rd anti-codon position. The record is from Rfam.
UUGACCUUAGCUCAGUGGAAAGAGCAGAGGAUUGAUACUUAGAUUGUUGGUUCGAUUCCAGCAGGUCGAA